Molecule: ribosomal RNA, 536 nt
Filed under: uncultured bacterium
Lineage: Bacteria
Description: bacterial SSU rRNA
Rfam family: Bacterial small subunit ribosomal RNA
Source: RNAcentral
AGAGUUGAUCCUGGCUCAGAACGAACGCUGGCGGCGUGGAUUAGGCAUGCAAGUCGAACGCGAAAGAGGGGGCAACCCCUCGAGUAGAGUGGCGAACGGGUGAGUAACGCGUGAAGAACCUGCCCUCAGCAGGGGGGAUAACACUCCCAACGGGGUGCUAAUACCGCAUGAGACCACGGGACCACAUGGUUCCGAGGUCAAAGGUGGCCUCUGCUUGCAAGCUACCGGCUGAGGAUGGCUUCGCGUCCCAUUAGCUAGUUGGCGGUGUAACGGACCACCAAGGCGACGAUGGGUAGCUGGUCUGAGAGGAUGGUCAGCCACACUGGGACUGAGAUACGGCCCAGACUCCUACGGGAGGCAGCAGUCGAGAGGCUUCGGCAAUGGGGGAAACCCUGACCGAGCGACGCCGCGUGGAGGAUGAAGGCCCUUGGGUUGUAAACUCCUUUUGUCGGGGAAGAAGUGCGACCAGGUGAACAAUCUGGUCGUUUGACGGUACCCGGCGAAUAAGCUCCGGCUAACUCCGUGCCAGCCGCCGC